RNAcentral lists this ribosomal RNA (432 nucleotides) under Triticum aestivum (bread wheat). RNAcentral's name for it is "partial small subunit ribosomal RNA". Lineage: Eukaryota; Viridiplantae; Streptophyta; Magnoliopsida; Poales; Poaceae. The record is from RNAcentral.
AUGGCCUGCGAGGUUUUGUGCACCAAGGGGGUGGCUGAGGAGAGGUCGGCGACGGGGAAGGCCGGGCUGAUCACCAAGGCACUGGACCGGUGCUGGAGUACGACGGCAAGGAACUGCAAGCCAGCAGAGGGCUGCUUCUCGGUGUACGUCGGCGUGGGCAGGCAACGGUUCGUCGUGAGGACGGAGUGCGUGAACCACCCAUUGUUCCGGGUGCUUCUGGAGGAGGCCGAGGAGAUGUUUGGUUACGCAGCCACAGGGCCCCUUGAGCUGCCCUGCAACUCUGAGGCGUUCGCCGGGGUGCUGGAGCAGAGGAGAUGCAGAUGGCGGAAGGGAGGAGGUACGGCCUCCCCAGGGGGAAUUCCUACCGGCUGCUCGGCACCGGUCAGACUGUCAUCAUCAGCCGGUUGUAGCAGUAUAGUGGAUUGGCAUUGA